UACGGUGGGGGUAAGCGUUGUUCGGAAUUACUGGGCGUAAAGCGUGCGCAGGCGGUUUUGUAAGCCAGAUGUGAAAGCCCCGGGCUUAACCUGGGAAUGGCAUUUGGGACUGCAAGGCUUGAGUGCGGCAGAGGAGACUGGAAUUCCUGGUGUAGCAGUGAAAUGCGUAGAUAUCAGGAGGAAUACCGAUGGCGAAGGCAGGUCUCUGGGCUGACACUGACGCUCAUGCACGAAAGCGUGGGGAGCAAACAGG
RNAcentral lists this ribosomal RNA (253 nucleotides) under uncultured bacterium. Its description in RNAcentral is "partial 16S ribosomal RNA". It matches the Rfam family "Bacterial small subunit ribosomal RNA", at positions 524 to 776 of the family's 1533-position model. The record is from RNAcentral.